CUACGGAGGAGGCAAGCGUUAUCCGGAAUGAUUGGGCGUAAAGAGUUCGUAGGUGGUAAUGAAAGUUUGCCGUUAAAGACUAAGGCUUAACCUUAGGAGAGCGGUGAAAACUACAUAACUAGAGUAUGGAAGGGGCAGAGGGAAUUCUUGGUGCAGCGGUGAAAUGCGUAGAGAUCAAGAGGAACAUCGGUGGCGAAAGCGCUCUGCUAGGCCAAAACUGACACUGAGGAACGAAAGCUAGGGGAGCGAAAGGGAUUAGAUACCCCUGUAGUCCUAGCCGUAAACGAUGGAUACUAGGUGUGGCUUGUAUCGACCCGAGCCGUGC
Molecule: ribosomal RNA, 325 nt
Filed under: uncultured bacterium
Lineage: Bacteria
Description: partial 16S ribosomal RNA
Rfam family: Bacterial small subunit ribosomal RNA
Source: RNAcentral